UACGUAGGGUGCGAGCGUUAAUCGGAAUUACUGGGCGUAAAGCGUGCGCAGGCGGUUAUGUAAGACAGUUGUGAAAUCCCCGGGCUCAACCUGGGAAUUGCAUCUGUGACUGCAUAGCUAGAGUACGGUAGAGGGGGAUGGAAUUCCGCGUGUAGCAGUGAAAUGCGUAGAUAUGCGGAGGAACACCGAUGGCGAAGGCAGGUCUCUGGGCUGACACUGACGCUCAUGCACGAAAGCGUGGGGAGCAAACAGG
This 253-nucleotide ribosomal RNA is filed under the name uncultured bacterium. RNAcentral describes it as "partial 16S ribosomal RNA". It matches the Rfam family "Bacterial small subunit ribosomal RNA", at positions 524 to 776 of the family's 1533-position model. The record is from RNAcentral.